UCCUCCGCUUGCUGCAGGGAAACAAGAGGAAGGCGGCGUCAACAAUGCCCACAGUCCUCAGCAAGCUGAAGGAACUGCAUGUGGAAGCUCAAACCAGUUCAGUUUUUUGUCGGUAAGAGAGUCUGAAGGUGCAAAGAACUGAGCGGUAAAGGAGGCAAACUUCAGCACGAAGUUGCGCAAAGUCUAUCGCCAGGCCCUCUUGUCAGAGCGACGAGUGGGAAGGAGCAGCACGUGGAGACGGGAGCAGUCAGCUAACCCAGCUGGACCAGCUUCUCUUCAGCGGCACAGAGUUGGACACCUGCAACAUCCUGGUAGGAGCGCAGCUCAGCGUCCUGCUGGACGACCGUGAGGAGGAUUAAGUUUCAUAACCUUUCCACCUCUCUGGAAACACAGGGAGGACACGGCCCCCCCUGGAGUCCCUUCAGGACUGUUGAGUGAUCCAGGAACCAGCAGUGCCCAGGAUUCAACCAUGAGCACUGGUUGAGAAAAGCUGUCGGAGCGAUGGCCAGACACGCUGACAGCAGCUGAAACAAGCAGGAGGGAAGCAAACGUCAGUUAACAGACGAACCACAGAUGAGACAGCGGACAGUAUCCUUAAAGGUGCAGUACCGCCACCAAUUGGUCCUAUAGUAAAACUCAUCUUAUCAUACAACUUUUAUCCGCUGACUUGAAUGAAAUAUGAACGAAACAAAGCCAUACCAAAUAUCCAUAUAUUAAAUACAAAACAGUCCUACACAACUGAGGCUAAGUUACUGUUCUGCGACUCCAUGUGACAACAACACAUGCUUAGCGCAAACAUAUACAUUUCUAUACCACAACAUAGUGCAGUGUCUUAUACAAAUGUACCACUAAAUACAUGCCCCAGAUGGAUAGCAGAACUUUAUCUAUUACAAG
Molecule: long non-coding RNA, 894 nt
Organism: Betta splendens (Siamese fighting fish)
Lineage: Eukaryota; Metazoa; Chordata; Actinopteri; Anabantiformes; Osphronemidae
Exons: 3
Source: RefSeq, a predicted model, not a curated record